RNAcentral lists this ribosomal RNA (468 nucleotides) under uncultured bacterium. RNAcentral's name for it is "partial 16S ribosomal RNA". It matches the Rfam family "Bacterial small subunit ribosomal RNA", at positions 28 to 507 of the family's 1533-position model. The record is from RNAcentral.
GACGAACGCUGGCGGCGUGCUUAACACAUGCAAGUCGAACGAACAGGCCCUGCUUUUGUGGGGUGCUCGAUUGGCGAACGGGUGAGUAACACGUGAGUAACCUGCCCUUGACUUUGGGGUAACUUCAGGAAACUGGGGCUAAUACCGGAUAGGAGCUCCUGCUGCAUGGUGGGGGUUGGAAAGUUUCGGCGGUUGGGGAUGGACUCGCGGCUUAUCAGCUUGUUGGUGUGGUAGUGGCUUACCAAGGCUUUGACGGGUAGCCGGCCUGAGAGGGUGACCGGCCACAUGGGGCCUGCGAGACGGCGCAGACGGCUACGGGAGGCAGAAGGGGGGAAUAUUGCAGAACGGGCGGGAGCCAGAUGCAGCAACGCCGCGUGCGUGAUGAUGGCCUUCGGGUUGUAAACCGCUUUCGACUGUGACGAAGCGUGAGUGACGGUAAUGGGUAAAGAAGCACCGGCUAACUACGUG